This 166-nucleotide non-coding RNA is filed under the name uncultured Roseburia sp. Lineage: Bacteria; Bacillati; Bacillota; Clostridia; Lachnospirales; Lachnospiraceae. The record is from RNAcentral.
UUGGGAGAAAAUUAGAAAAUCUUGGUAUGCCUGUCUACACACAGUGAUGUUCUGCCACGGAUGGCAGAAAAAGGCAGCAUCGAGUCAUGGAUGACUCGUUGUUGCCCUUCACGUCUCUCCAAGAAAAUCUAAUUCAGGCAUACCUAGACUUUUCUUAUUUUCGUAC